Molecule: ribosomal RNA, 255 nt
Filed under: uncultured bacterium
Lineage: Bacteria
Description: partial 16S ribosomal RNA
Rfam family: Bacterial small subunit ribosomal RNA
Source: RNAcentral
UACGUAGGGAGCAAGCGUUGUCCGGAAUCAUUGGGCGUAAAGCGCGCGUAGGCGGCCCGAUAAGUCCGCUGUGAAAGUCAACGGCUCAACUGUUGGAUGCCGGUGGAUACUGUCGGGCUAGAGUACGGAAGAGGCAAGUGGAAUCCGGGUGUAGCGGUGGAAUGCGUAGAGAUCCGGAAGAACACCAGUGGCGAAGGCGGUCUGCUGGGCAGUGGGAGCUUCGGCUCUCUUUAGCCGACACUGAGGCGCGACAGC